RNAcentral lists this ribosomal RNA (226 nucleotides) under uncultured bacterium. RNAcentral's name for it is "partial 16S ribosomal RNA". It matches the Rfam family "Bacterial small subunit ribosomal RNA", at positions 538 to 763 of the family's 1533-position model. The record is from RNAcentral.
GCGUUGUCCGGAUUUAUUGGGCGUAAAGCGCUCGCAGGCGGUCGGUCGCGUCGUGCGUGAAGGCCCUCGGCUCAACCGGGGGUGGUCGUGCGAUACGGGCGGACUGGAGGUAGGUAGGGGGACGCGGAAUUCCCGGUGUAGUGGUGGAAUGCGUAGAGAUCGGGAGGAACACCGGCGGCGAAGGCGGCGUCCUGGACCUGGCCUGACGCUCAGGAGCGAAAGCGUG